GCCGGGCGUGGUGGCGGGCGCCUGUAAUCCCAGCUACUCAGGAGGCUGAGACAAGAGAAUCGCUUGAACCCGGGGGGCCGAGGUUGUAGUGAGCUGAGACUAUGUCACUACACUCCAGCCUGGGCCACAGAGCGAGACUCCGUCUCAA
RNAcentral lists this non-coding RNA (148 nucleotides) under Nomascus leucogenys (northern white-cheeked gibbon). Lineage: Eukaryota; Metazoa; Chordata; Mammalia; Primates; Hylobatidae. The record is from Rfam by way of RNAcentral.